Molecule: unclassified non-coding RNA, 345 nt
Filed under: soil metagenome
Description: partial contains 5.8S ribosomal RNA, internal transcribed spacer 2, and large subunit ribosomal RNA
Rfam family: 5.8S ribosomal RNA (bases 1-120)
Source: RNAcentral
GAUGAAGAACGCAGUGAAAUGCGAUAACUAAUGUGAAUUGCAGAAUUCCGUGAAUCAUCGAGUCUUUGAACGCACAUUGCGCCCCCUGGUAUUCCGGGGGGCAUGCCUGUCCGAGCGUCAUUGCUGCCCUCAAGCACGGCUUGUGUGUUGGGCCUCCGUCCUCCUCCCGGGGGACGGGCCCGAAAGGCAGCGGCGGCACCGCGUCCGGUCCUCGAGCGUAUGGGGCUUCGUCACCCGCUCUUGUAGGCCCGGCCGGCGCUUGCCGACACAUCAAUCUUUUUUCCAGGUUGACCUCGGAUCAGGUAGGGAUACCCGCUGAACUUAAGCAUAUCAAUAAGCGGAGGA